RNAcentral lists this ribosomal RNA (341 nucleotides) under uncultured bacterium. Its description in RNAcentral is "partial 16S ribosomal RNA". It matches the Rfam family "Bacterial small subunit ribosomal RNA", at positions 355 to 713 of the family's 1533-position model. The record is from RNAcentral.
UGGGGAAUAUUGGACAAUGGGGGCAACCCUGAUCCAGCAAUGCCGCGUGUGUGAAGAAGGUCUUCGGAUUGUAAAGCACUUUCGACGGGGACGAUGAUGACGGUACCCGUAGAAGAAGCCCCGGCUAACUUCGUGCCAGCAGCCGCGGUAAUACGAAGGGGGCUAGCGUUGCUCGGAAUGACUGGGCGUAAAGGGCGUGUAGGCGGUUUACACAGUCAGAUGUGAAAUCCCCGGGCUUAACCUGGGAGCUGCAUUUGAUACGUGUAGACUAGAGUGUGAGAGAGGGUUGUGGAAUUCCCAGUGUAGAGGUGAAAUUCGUAGAUAUUGGGAAGAACACCGGU